RNAcentral lists this transfer RNA (67 nucleotides) under Marmota monax (woodchuck). RNAcentral's name for it is "tRNA.Ala". The record is from RNAcentral. Lineage: Eukaryota; Metazoa; Chordata; Mammalia; Rodentia; Sciuridae.
GGUUGUGGCUCAGUGGCAGAGCGCUUGCCUCGCACAUGUGAGGCACUGGAUUCGAUCCUCAGCACCA